Asterias rubens (European starfish) is the source of this 963-nucleotide long non-coding RNA. RefSeq lists it as uncharacterized. The record is from RefSeq and is a predicted model, not a curated record. The transcript has 8 exons. NCBI's taxonomy places the organism in Eukaryota, Metazoa, Echinodermata, Asteroidea, Forcipulatida, Asteriidae.
CAUACUGACUGCGUCAAAAGAUGCCGAUGACUUGUUCUCAAAUAAUUCAAGUUUUUUACAUAGUUCUGAUGGCACAACUUCCACAAAACUGUAAUGGCUGGCCACAGACACGCUAUUGUCAGACGUUACCUCUCCAAAGUAGAUGCCUGAUGUGAAUGCAGUCAAGACUCAAUGAUAUCUUCUCCAUUAACAGGCCAGCCGCGGAUACACCAUUGUCAGAUGAAGUCUACCUCUCCAGAAGUAGAUGCAUGAUGGGAAUACAGGCCAUCUUCAAGAUUCAAUGUCUUCUCCAUCAACAGGCUAGCUACAGGCACACCAUUGUCAGAUGAAGUCUACCUCUCUAGAAGUAGAUGCAUGAUGGGAAUACAGCCCAGCUUAGGAUUCAACGAUGUCUUCUCCAUCAACAGGCUAGCCACAGACACACCAUUGUCAGAUGAAGUCUACCUCUCUAGAGGAAGAUGCAUGAUGGGAAUGCAACCCAGCUUAGGAUUCAAUGAUGGCUUCUCCAUUAACAGGCUAGCCGCAGACACACCAUUGUCAGAUGAAGUCUGCCUCUCCAGAAGUAGAUGCAUGAUGGGAAUAGCCCAGCUUAGGAUUCAACGACGUCUACUCAGUCAUUAGUUCCACGCCUAGAUCUCGGAGGGACUGGCGACGACGAUUAAAACUGACCGAGUUAGUCACGACAGUUUCUUUGAUGAGCCUUUCCAGUCCAUUUACAGAAACCAAGGCCUAUCAGCAGAUGAUGCAGAGCUCUCAAAGGUCGGCUAAACUUAAAGAUCUGGAUGGUCUGGGAGACAGCGAGGAAGGUUCAUCCGAUGAUGAAAAAGACGAUGAGAUUGAGGAGGCUACCAGCCAAGAUUAAAGAUCUGGACGGUCUGGGAGACAGCGAGGACGGUUCAUCCGAUGAUGAAAAAGAUGUUGAGGCUACCAGACAUUCUCCUGAGACCCCCACCUUCAUCCAGA